This 420-nucleotide ribosomal RNA is filed under the name uncultured bacterium. Its description in RNAcentral is "bacterial SSU rRNA". It matches the Rfam family "Bacterial small subunit ribosomal RNA", at positions 355 to 776 of the family's 1533-position model. The record is from RNAcentral.
UGGGGAAUUUUGGACAAUGGGCGAAAGCCUGAUCCAGCAACGCUGCGUGAAGGACGACGGUCUUCGGAUUGUAAACUUCUUUUGCAGGGGACGAAAUCCCGGGCAACCGGGUCUGACGGUACUCUGCGAAUAAGCCACGGCUAACUACGUGCCAGCAGCCGCGGUAAGACGUAGGUGGCAAGCGUUACUCGGAAUUACUAGGCGUAAAGCGCGAGUAGGCGGAUGCUUAAGUCCGUUGUUAAAACUUCCGGCUCAACCGGAAGCUGUCGACGGAUACUGGGCGUCUCGAGUGAGGCAGAGGAAGCUGGAAUUCCCGGUGUAGCAGUGAAAUGCGUAGAUAUCGGGAGGAACACCAGUGGCGAAGGCGGGCUUCUGGGCCUUUACUGACGCUGAGGAGCGAAAGCUAGGGGAGCAAACAGG